UACGUAGGGGGCAAGCGUUGUCCGGAAUCAUUGGGCGUAAAGAGCGUGUAGGCGGCCCGGUAAGUCCGCUGUGAAAGUCCAGGGCUCAACCCUGGGAUGCCGGUGGAUACUGCCGGGCUCGAGUCCGGAAGAGGCGAGUGGAAUUCCCGGUGUAGUGGUGAAAUGCGUAGAUAUCGGGAGGAACACCAGUGGCGAAGGCGACUUCCUGGCCUGUUCUUGACGCUGAGGCGCGAAAGCUAGGGGAGCAAACGGG
RNAcentral lists this ribosomal RNA (253 nucleotides) under uncultured bacterium. Its description in RNAcentral is "partial 16S ribosomal RNA". It matches the Rfam family "Bacterial small subunit ribosomal RNA", at positions 524 to 776 of the family's 1533-position model. The record is from RNAcentral.